AAGUGUUUCUAAACCAGCGUCAACACCGCCGUCAAAGAGCAGGCCUUCACCAUCCUCUGUGACCUGCUGCUGAUCUUCAGCCAUCAGAUCAUCUCAGGGGGGAGGGAAGCUCUCGAGCCCCUAGUAUACACACCUGAGGCGUCCCUGCAGUCCGAGCUUCUCAAUUUCAUCCUGGACCACGUCUUCAUUGACCAGGAUGAAGACAGCAACAGCACAGAUGGGCAGCAGGAUGAUGAAGCUGGAAAAAUCGAAGCUUUGCACAAGAGGCGAAACCUGCUGGCCGCAUAC
This is a long non-coding RNA of Sinocyclocheilus rhinocerous, 288 nucleotides long. RefSeq lists it as uncharacterized. The transcript is spliced from 3 exons. The record is from RefSeq and is a predicted model, not a curated record. NCBI's taxonomy places the organism in Eukaryota, Metazoa, Chordata, Actinopteri, Cypriniformes, Cyprinidae.